Pogoniulus pusillus (Red-fronted tinkerbird) is the source of this 1520-nucleotide long non-coding RNA. RefSeq lists it as uncharacterized. NCBI's taxonomy places the organism in Eukaryota, Metazoa, Chordata, Aves, Piciformes, Lybiidae. The record is from RefSeq and is a predicted model, not a curated record. The transcript has 5 exons.
GGGCUGAGUGCGCAGUUGGAGAGCGGGGGCGAGGGGCUGGGACUGUGCUGUCAGGGCGGGCGCCGCUGUUCGGGGACUGGAGUGGCGCGGGGCCAGGCCCAGCCCACGGCCCCAGCGGGUGUGGCGGGGAGCGCCGAGCGGUUGGCGGGUGGAGCCGCCUGCGGCAGCCAGGGAAGAAGACUCGGGCCUGAGGGGUCGCAGCCGCUGGAACAACUUCUCCGGGUUCCGGACCGUCAGACUGUGGCUCGCUACGGCGGGUGCUGGAGGUGCUUGGGAGCUGGUUUCCUCUAAUUGCUCAGGUUUGGGGCUCACCCGCUGCCCCUAGCGCUGCUUGCUGCGAGGACGGUUGUGGGGGUCCCUGCAGCCCCGCGGGCUGUUUGCUGAGAAAGGUUGUGGUUUAGAAACAAGAAAAGCUUAGAAUAGCACCAUUCCCAGGGGCUUACGUUGGUAUUAGCCCGUGGAGUGGUGGUGCCACUCUCUCAGGCAGAGGCAGCCACAGCUCUGGGUUGCUAAGCCUCGUGUCCCGGAGCUGCGAGGGUUUGGCAGUUCGGCGCUUGGUGAGCAGCGCUGACGUCGCAGCGACGCUUCUCGCCGAACCGAAUUCUCCGCAUUCUCGAAUCGUCAGAGGGAGUCAGUUAAAGGCUGGAAGCUCUUGUGGGCCCGGUGGGAGGAAAAAGCCAGCGCUGCGGAGGGUUUGCUGCUAUGUGAAAUGCUGUCCCACCGAAAUAGUCGGGUGUCAGCCUCACGGGUAUGAUCACUGCCCCCCGAACGCUGUGCUUGGGAACAGACGUUGCACCCGUGCUUCCUCCAAAGCCGGUAACGUGGAGCUUAUUGUGAUAAAUAGGAGCACCGCCACCUCUGUCUUUGGCAUCUAGAGCUGCCACAGAAGCCUGAUCAGGUGGAGACCGAAAUUCUCCCGAGGCUAGUGUAAGCAGGAAGCGGUCACAGAAAUAAACAGAUCAACCAGUAACAUCUGUUCUUCUGCAAUUACCACCCAAACAACUGAACUCACUGAGACAGUGGGGACUAACUUGUUUCACAACUGGGAGCUGCUGACAGCAUGACAAGCCUUGCUGCAUGGGAUUAUAUGGACAACUCAGAGUGAGCCAGCUGAACAGGAAAGGACAUCUGCCAUCCUGGACACGUACUGAGAGAGAUGAUGGCAAUAAGGAAUGACUGGAUUGGGCAUCAAGGAAGAAAUUAUUCCAGCAAUGAUGAAAAGAUAAGAGAGGCUUAUUUGGCUGGGUUCUGGACCUCAGCGAGCUGGAGGAAGACAACUAGCACCUAUACAAACCAGUACUGCUAAUGAAUCCUCUCUUAAAGUUAUCCAGUGAUGAUGUUUUGAACGGAGUGCAAUUACCAAUAUCUGUUACUUCUUCAGGAAAUUCAGAAACUUGACCUCUUGUAUCAGUGGAACCAGAAAAAGAAAUCUGAGCUCCCAGAGAAAUCACCAAUGCCUGAUUUGUUCAGACUUGUCUCCCAUACUUACUCUGGAGAGUGGUUGUUCAAGGCGAUGCUGA